CUGCUGCCUUCCGUAGGAGUCUGGUCCGUGUCUCAGUACCAGUGUGGGGGACCUUCCUCUCAGAACCCCUACGCAUCGUCGCCUCGGUGGGCCGUUACCCCGCCGACUAGCUAAUGCGACGCAUGGCCAUCCUAUGCCGGAGUCGCCUCCUUUUGACCCCCAAGAAGAUGUCUCCUAAAGGUGUUAUGCGGUAUUAGACGGAAUUUCUUCCGCUUACUCCCCCUCGCAUAGGGCAGGUUCCAUACGUGUUACUCACCCGUGCGCCGG
This 267-nucleotide ribosomal RNA is filed under the name uncultured bacterium. RNAcentral describes it as "partial 16S ribosomal RNA". The record is from RNAcentral.